This 269-nucleotide long non-coding RNA is filed under the name Trifolium pratense (red clover). RNAcentral's name for it is "long non-coding RNA (TPRA_LNC008430)". Lineage: Eukaryota; Viridiplantae; Streptophyta; Magnoliopsida; Fabales; Fabaceae. The record is from RNAcentral.
CAUCCUCUCCUCCGACUCUGUCAACGACAACGGCAAUAGAACUCUUGCUUCAGCACAGUUCAAAUACGGCGGCCGUCGGGGAGUUUCUACAGAGUAAUGAACAUCAGAGCAAUGGUGGGCAACAGUACCGGCAACAGAACUCAACGUGACCGAGUCAGUCAAAUUUAGAUAAAGGCAAACAAUAUGGUCCAUUAGAUUGCUUUAAGGGUCAAGAUUUUAUCAACUUUGUGAAACUGCGGGAAUAUUCCACAGCAGUAAAUCCAAAUCCG